GACGAACGCUGGCGGCGUGCUUAACACAUGCAAGUCGAACGGAAAGGCCCUGCUUUUGUGGGGUGCUCGAGUGGCGAACGGGAGAGUAACACGUGAGUAACCUGCCCUGGACUUUGGGAUAACUUCAGGAAAGUGGGGCUAAUACAGGAUAGGAGCUCCUGCUGCAUGGGGGGGGUUGGAAAGUUUGGGCGGAUGGGGAUGGACGCGCGGCUUAUCAGCUUGUUGGUGGGGGAGUGGCUUACCAAGGCUUUGGUGGGUAGCCGGCCUGGGAGGGUGAUCGGCCACAUUGGGACUGCGAUACGGCCCAGACUCCUACGGGAGGCAGCAGUGGGGAAUAUUGCACAAUGGGCGGAAGCGUGAUGCAGCAACGCCGCGUGCGGGAUGACGGUCUUCGGGUUGUAAACCGCUUUAGCCUGUGACGAAGCGUGAGUGACGGUAAUGGGUAAAGAAGCACCGGCUAACUACGUG
RNAcentral lists this ribosomal RNA (468 nucleotides) under uncultured bacterium. Its description in RNAcentral is "partial 16S ribosomal RNA". It matches the Rfam family "Bacterial small subunit ribosomal RNA", at positions 28 to 507 of the family's 1533-position model. The record is from RNAcentral.